This 514-nucleotide ribosomal RNA is filed under the name uncultured bacterium. RNAcentral describes it as "partial 16S ribosomal RNA". The record is from RNAcentral.
GGAGUUAGCCGGUGCUUCUUCUGUGAGUGAUGUCCUUCCUGCCGGCUAUUAACCCGCAGGCCUUCUUCCUCACUGAAAGUGCUUUACAACCCGAAGGCCUUCUUCACACACGCGGCAUGGCUGGAUCAGGGUUGCCCCCAUUGUCCAAUAUUCCCCACUGCUGCCUCCCGUAGGAGUCUGGGCCGUGUCUCAGUCCCAGUGUGGCUGAUCAUCCUCUCAGACCAGCUACGGAUCGUCGCCUUGGUGAGCCGUUACCUCACCAACCAGCUAAUCCGACAUAGGCUCAUCCGAUAGCGCGAGGCCCGAAGGUCCCCCGNUUUCCCCCGUAGGGCGUAUGCGGUAUUAGCCUGGGUUUCCCCAGGUUAUCCCCCAUACCGGGCAGAUUCCUAUGCAUUACUCACCCGUCCGCCGCUCGCCACCAGGGACNCAAGCUCCCCGUGCUGCCGCUCGACUUGCAUGUGUUAGGCCUCGCCGCCACGCGUUCACUCUGAGCCGACGAAUACAAACUACUCGA